AACGCGAAGAACCUUACCUGGGUUUGACAUCCGCUGACCGCCUAUGAAAGUAGGUUUCCCCGCAAGGGGCAGCGAGACAGGUGCUGCAUGGCUGUCGUCAGCUCGUGUCGUGAGAUGUUGGGUUAAGUCCCGCAACGAGCGCAACCCUUAUUUCUAGUUGCCAUCGGGUCAAGCUGGGCACUCUAGAGAGACUGCCGGUGACAAACCGGAGGAAGGCGGGGAUGACGUCAAGUCCUCAUGGCCUUUAUACCCAGGGCUACACACGUGCUACAAUGGCCGGUACAAAGGGUUGCGAACCCGCGAGGGGGAGCCAAUCCCAAAAAGCCGGUCCCAGUUCAGAUUGAAGUCUGCAACUCGACUUCAUGAAGCUGGAAUUGCUAGUAAUCGCGGAUCAGCACGCCGCGGUGAAUACGUUCCCGGGCCUUGUACACACCGCGAGC
RNAcentral lists this ribosomal RNA (440 nucleotides) under uncultured bacterium. RNAcentral describes it as "bacterial SSU rRNA". It matches the Rfam family "Bacterial small subunit ribosomal RNA", at positions 958 to 1397 of the family's 1533-position model. The record is from RNAcentral.